CAGCAGCCGCGGUAAUACGUAGGGUGCGAGCGUUAAUCGGAUUUACUGGGCGUAAAGCGUGCGCAGGCGGCCCGUUAAGACAGGUGUGAAAUCCCUGGGCUCAACCUAGGAAUUGCGCUUGUGACUGGCGGGCUCGAGUACGGUAGAGGGGGGUGGAAUUCCUGGUGUAGCAGUGAAAUGCGUAGAGAUCAGGAGGAACACCGAUGGCGAAGGCAGCCCCCUGGGCCUGUACUGACGCUCAUGCACGAAAGCGUGGGGAGCAAACAGGAUUAGAUACCCUGGUAGUCCACGCCCUAAACGAUGGGUACUAGCCGUUUGGUGCGCGAGAGCGCUGAGUGGCGAAGCUAACGCGUGAAGUACCCCGCCUGGGGAGUACGGCCGCAAGGUUGAAACUUAAAGGAAUUGGCGGG
This 410-nucleotide ribosomal RNA is filed under the name uncultured microorganism. Its description in RNAcentral is "bacterial SSU rRNA". It matches the Rfam family "Bacterial small subunit ribosomal RNA", at positions 509 to 917 of the family's 1533-position model. The record is from RNAcentral.